Molecule: ribosomal RNA, 253 nt
Filed under: uncultured bacterium
Lineage: Bacteria
Description: partial 16S ribosomal RNA
Rfam family: Bacterial small subunit ribosomal RNA
Source: RNAcentral
UAUGUAGGGAGCAAGCGUUGUCCGGAAUCAUUGGGCGUAAAGCGCGCGUAGGCGGCCCUGUAAGUCCGUUGUGAAAGUCAAAGGCUCAACCUUUGAAAGCCGAUGGAUACUGCAGGGCUAGAGUCCGGAAGAGGCGAGUGGAAUUCCUGGUGUAGCGGUGGAAUGCGCAGAUAUCAGGAGGAACACCAAUAGCGAAGGCAGCUCGCUGGGACGGUACUGACGCUAAGGCGCGAAAGCGUGGGGAGCGAACAGG